UUGAACGCUGGCGGCAUGCCUUACACAUGCAAGUCGAACGGUAGAGGGGCAACCCUUGAGAGUGGCGAACGGGUGAGUAAUGCAUCGGAACGUGCCCAGUCGUGGGGGAUAACGCAGCGAAAGCUGUGCUAAUACCGCAUGUGAUCUGUGGAUGAAAGCAGGGGACCGCAAGGCCUUGUGCGAUUGGAGCGGCCGAUGUCAGAUUAGCUAGUUGGUAGGGUAAAAGCCUACCAAGGCGACGAUCUGUAGC
This 250-nucleotide ribosomal RNA is filed under the name uncultured bacterium. RNAcentral describes it as "partial 16S ribosomal RNA". It matches the Rfam family "Bacterial small subunit ribosomal RNA", at positions 30 to 287 of the family's 1533-position model. The record is from RNAcentral.